RNAcentral lists this ribosomal RNA (429 nucleotides) under Bacteroidota bacterium. Its description in RNAcentral is "Bacteroidetes bacterium partial 16S ribosomal RNA". It matches the Rfam family "Bacterial small subunit ribosomal RNA", at positions 355 to 776 of the family's 1533-position model. The record is from RNAcentral. Lineage: Bacteria; Pseudomonadati; Bacteroidota.
UAGGGAAUCUUCCGCAAUGGACGCAAGUCUGACGGAGCAACGCCGCGUGAGUGAAGAAGGAUUUCGGUUCGUAAAACUCUGUUGUUAGAGAAGAACAGCGCAUAGAGUAACUGUUAUGCGUGUGACGGUAUCUAACCAGAAAGCCACGGCUAACUACGUGCCAGCAGCCGCGGUAAUACGUAGGUGGCAAGCGGUGUCCGGAUUUAUUGGGCGUAAAGCGAGCGCAGGCGUUCGAUUAAGUCUGAUGUGAAAGCCCCCGGCUCAACCGGGGAGGGUCAUUGGAGACUGGUUGACUGGAGUGCAGAAGAGGAGGGUGGAAUUCCAUGUGUAGCGGUGAAAUGCGUAGAUAUAUGGAGGGACACCAGUGGCGAAGGCGACUCUCUGGUCUGUAACUGACGCUGAGGCUCGAAAGCGUGGGUAGCAAACAGG